CGCGGCCUAUCAGCUUGUUGGUGGGGUGAUGACCUACCAAGGCGACGACGGGUAGCCGGCCUGAGAGGGUGUCCGGCCACACUGGGACUGAGAUACGGCCCAGACUCCUACGGGAGGCAGCAGUGGGGAAUAUUGCACAAUGGGCGCAAGCCUGAUGCAGCGACGCCGCGUGGGGGAUGACGGCCUUCGGGUUGUAAACCUCUUUCACCAUCGGCGAAGCCCGUAGCUUUUGUUGUGGGUGACGGUAGGUGGAGAAGAAGCACCGGCCAACUACGUGCCAGCAGCCGCGGUAAUACGUAGGGUGCGAGCGUUGUCCGGAAUUACUGGGCGUAAAGAGCUCGUAGGUGGUUUGUCGCGUUGUCCGUGAAAUUCCCUGGCUUAACUGGGGGCGUGCGGGCGAUACGGGCAGACUGGAGUACUGCAGGGGAGACUGGAAUUCCUGGUGUAGCGGUGGAAUGCGCAGAUAUCAGGAGGAACACCGGUGGCGAAGGCGGGUCUCUGGGCAGUAACUGACGCUGAGGAGCGAAAGCGUGGGGAGCGAACAGGAUUAGAUACCCUGGUAGUCCACGCCGUAAACGGUGGGUACUAGGUGUGGGUUUCCUUCCUUGGGAUCCGUGCCGUAGCUAACGCAUUAAGUACCCCGCCUGGGGA
This 651-nucleotide ribosomal RNA is filed under the name uncultured bacterium. RNAcentral describes it as "bacterial SSU rRNA". It matches the Rfam family "Bacterial small subunit ribosomal RNA", at positions 232 to 879 of the family's 1533-position model. The record is from RNAcentral.